GGACUACCGGGGUUUCUAAUCCUGUUUGCUCCCCACGCUGUCGCGCCUCAGUGUCAGUUACUGCCCAGCUGGCCGCCUUCGCCACCGGUCUUCUGCCGGAUCUCUACGCAUUCCACCGCUACACCCGGCAUUCUACCAGCCUCUACAGUACUCAAGUCUCGCAGUAUCCAUGGCAGACCCGGGGUUGAGCCCCGGGCUUUCACCACAGACUUACAAGACCACCUACGCGCCCUUUACGCCCAGUGAUUCCGGACAACGCUCGCACCCCCCGUAUUACCGCGGCUGCUGGCAC
RNAcentral lists this ribosomal RNA (292 nucleotides) under uncultured bacterium. RNAcentral's name for it is "partial 16S ribosomal RNA". The record is from RNAcentral.